GAUGCCUUUAAUCUAGCCCAAUUACACCUAUUUCCUACCCUACUCCCCACCCUCAAAAUAAACCAUUCUAAAUUUUAAGUAAAUGCGAUUGAAAAAGAACUUGGAGCUUUACAAAUAGUACCGCAAGGGAAAGAUGAAAUAGAAAUUAAAUAAAUACUAAAGCACAAAAUAGUAGAGACUUCAACUCGUACCUUUUGCAUCAUGGUCUAACUAGUCUAGUCAGGCAAAGAGAUCUUUAGUCUGAUCCCCCGAAACUAAGUGAGCUACUCCAAGGUAACCUUAGAGUUAACCCGUCUCUGUGGCAAAAGAGUGGGGUAACCUUUGAGUAGAGGUGAUAUACCUAUCGAACUUAGUGAUAGCUGGUUACUCAAGAAACGAAUUUUAGUUCCUUCUCAAGAGGACUUAGCUAAUAUUUUAUUAAGCAAAUUUAACCUCUUAAGACCUAUUCAAUUAGGGUACAGCCUUAUUGAAAAAGGAUACAACCUACAACUCAGGUUAACGUUUCAAGACCUAGCUCAAGUGGGCUUAAGAGCAGCCACCUUUAAAAAAGCGUCAAAGCUUCCUCUAUUGUCUUCUUCAAUUUCCCAAUCUUUACGGAACCCGAUACUAUUAUUGAGUCCUUCUAUAUCUUUAUAGAAGUGUUUAUGUUAGAACUAGUAACACAGAACUACUUCUCUCUAUGUAAGUGUAAAUCAGACCGAAUAAGUCACUGAUAAUUAUUCAGUUGUGAAAUAAUUGUAGUAACCUCACUAGAAAACCCUACAAUCUUUCACUGUUAACCUAACACAAGAACAUUUGAGAAAGAUUUAAAGACGAGGAAGGAACUCGGCAAAUUUAAGUCCCGCCUGUUUACCAAAAACAUCGCCUUUUGCACACUAUAUAAGGUAAUGCCUGCCCAGUGACUAUAUGUUCAACGGCCGCGGUAUUCUAACCGCGCGAAGGUAGCGUAAUCACUUGUUUCCUAAAUAGAGACUUGUAUGAAUGGCUACACGAGGACUUAACUGUCUCCCUCGUCUAAUCAGUGAAACUAAUC
RNAcentral lists this ribosomal RNA (1033 nucleotides) under Megophrys megacephala. RNAcentral's name for it is "Xenophrys megacephala partial 16S ribosomal RNA". The stretch from base 171 to 1030 matches the Rfam family "Bacterial large subunit ribosomal RNA", at positions 569 to 2044 of the family's 2925-position model. Lineage: Eukaryota; Metazoa; Chordata; Amphibia; Anura; Megophryidae. The record is from RNAcentral.